RNAcentral lists this long non-coding RNA (385 nucleotides) under Brachypodium distachyon (stiff brome). Its description in RNAcentral is "long non-coding RNA (BDIS_LNC000976)". The record is from RNAcentral. Lineage: Eukaryota; Viridiplantae; Streptophyta; Magnoliopsida; Poales; Poaceae.
AAAAUAAUCAAUAAUUUAUGGUGAGAAAAUGUCCAAAACGUCCAGUCGUUGAUUCCUUCUCGUUUGGUUGGACGGUGAUCCUGUGACACACACUUCGACAUAACGUCUCAACCAUCGCAUGUACUCCAAUAGAUUAUGAUUCUUUUUUGGCUUCUAAUCAAACCGGAAAUUAAUGUUUUUUUUACAAUACUCCAAUAAAGAAGAGAAAAAGGGUGAUGUAACGACCGCCUUUAAAACAGUUGAUUAGUGCUAGUGUGGUGUGGUUAAGCAGCUGAUCACAUGCAUAUGCAGCUGGGAAUAAUCAAUACAACACAUUGUUGGCUUGGCUCCAAAUGCAUGAAUGUAUGUUUGGAGAUCAUCUGGGUUAGCUCCAGCUACUGGAACA